GGUGGCUCGGUGGUAGAGCACUUGCCUUGCAUGUGUGAGGCCCUGGGUUCAAUUCCCCAGCACCA
RNAcentral lists this transfer RNA (65 nucleotides) under Dipodomys ordii (Ord's kangaroo rat). It matches the Rfam family "tRNA". Rfam says of the family: Transfer RNA (tRNA) molecules are approximately 80 nucleotides in length. The record is from Rfam by way of RNAcentral. Lineage: Eukaryota; Metazoa; Chordata; Mammalia; Rodentia; Heteromyidae.